CCCCUCUCAGGGUCUCACCUGGAGAGUUUCCAGUACUCUACCAGUCUUGACUACCGGAGGGAGAGUUAAGCAGAGGCCUACCCAUUCUAUUCCUAGCUUGGGCAGUGGCUAGAGAGUGGAAGGCAAUAUGCUAUGAGU
This 138-nucleotide small nucleolar RNA is filed under the name Ornithorhynchus anatinus (platypus). Lineage: Eukaryota; Metazoa; Chordata; Mammalia; Monotremata; Ornithorhynchidae. The record is from RNAcentral.